RNAcentral lists this unclassified non-coding RNA (4080 nucleotides) under Hevea brasiliensis (rubber tree). The record is from RNAcentral. Lineage: Eukaryota; Viridiplantae; Streptophyta; Magnoliopsida; Malpighiales; Euphorbiaceae.
GCCGGUUAAUUGAGAAUUAGGGGAACCAAAAAACCUACAUAUUAUGUUAAAUGUGUACACAACAUGUGCUAUCACGCAUUACAGCUCUUUGUAGUUUCACCUGCUCUACAUUUCCUAAUAAAUAUAGUUUUUGCUUUGCUAGCAAAUUAAACACCAACAGUACAGGCUUUGUUUACAAACUAAGUAGUACAAGUGUGCACAACUAGGUGGAAACUACUGAGAUAAGCAUAUACAGCUAAACUAUUUUCUGGCAGUUGUGAACUCAUGAUACAAGUUUUCAGGCUUCAACCUCUUGAACUGUAGAUUGGUUUUCAUCUUUCUCAGCAUCACCAUCUCCAUCUUCUUCAUCAUCAGCUAGUUUGGUAAGCUCUUCUUGGAUCAUGAGUUUUAUAGAUGACUUUCUUUGGGUCAGAUCUGUAUCAAAUUGCCGAGCUGAAAAGCAGCCAGAUAUCUUUCAGGCAACCAGGAAUAGGAAUAAAAUCAACAAACAUAGGUUCUCACUUUCAAUUCAAGAGUCAACAUACAAAAUUGAAAAUAAAGGGAACUUUUUUUUUUAAUUGGGUGAUCACUGUCAAAAAAAAAAUGCUAUCUGUACAAAUCCUUGAUUAAAAUGAAUCUCAAAUCAUCAACCUGUUACGUGAAGACCUUUUCAACACAUUAACAAUGAGGAUCACUUUAACUACAGGAAAUAAACUGCAAACAGCUUUUCCACAAAUCCACUCUAGUCCAUCAAAAACAACCAUUGUGCUGUACUUUGGGAAAUACCAUUUAUGACGUCCAGAACUCCAGAUCAUUAAUGUAAAGUUUAAACACAUUGAAUUUCUGGAAGGAAAUAAACAUUCUAAAAUUAAGGCUAAUAUUGUUCCAUCCAUUUUUCUUACAUUAAAAAAAUCACAAAAAAUAUUCAAACAAUAGAAGUGAAGAAAACGUACCAAGUUGCUUCAAAAUGUCAGUGAAUGUAGCCUGCAAAAGCAGAUUACAGCUUAAUCUUGUGAUAACAUUAAUUUGAACAGAACAGACACAAAAUCAAAAUUCAUCCAGUUUGUUUUAAAUUCAUCCAGUUUGUUUUACAGGAAAAGAAAAAUAGAAACUUCAAUUGCUAAGACAUGGUUUGGGAAAAUCAACAGAAAAGACCACUAACCUGCAAGAAGCACAAAAAGGCCACUCUUUUAACAUUUGCUUCUUUAAAAUGACAAAAUAGCUAGUUCAUUAGAUCAACCUUAUCUAAAGUACCAAAUCUUAGACAAUAUUGCUUGGGAGCAUUUAAGAAAAAAAGUUGCAGAACAUAUGAAACAGCACAUAGAUCCUUUUGUGAAGCACACAAGCAAUGAAUGAAGCAAAGCCAUCCAAAGGCAAGAAUUGUGAACAAGUCUUUGAAACAGAUCUAAUUAUAAUCAUAACCAGGGGCCCUUAUGGUAAGUCCAGGAGUACCCUACAACAGCAUGUAUUUAGCAAUGUUAAAAUUAGGAGGACGAUAUUAAUUAAAAACUUCAAUGGCCAAUCCAGCAUGCUUCAUUUACCAUACUUUAACUGCAAGACCAUUAUAACAGCAGUAAACUAGUAAUGUCAGAUCUUACCGUAUUAAGAUCCACCUCCUUAAGAAUUUCACAUAUGGCGUCUCUAAGCUCAUCAUCAGUUGGCUUCAAUUUCUCCCCUUUGACUUUAGCCUUUUCCUUCCCUUUUGUAGUCCUUUUACCUGUUUUCUCCUCGGAAGGAGAUUUUUUAGGAGUUGAAGACUUCUCCUUUACUACUUUUUCAUUUUUCUUCUUCCUUGAGAAAACCUUUGGACUUGCAUCACCAUCAUCAUCCGCCUCAGUGCGUUUAGAUGAAGAUUUUUUAGGCAACCCUUUUGGAGGAGGACUGCAUUUAAUGGAAAUAGUGAGUUUCUUGGUUUUAGCUUUUCCAGUGGAUUCCUUCUUUCUAGAUGAUGUUCUUGAGCUUCUUUUGUGUUUACCAACAUCUUCUUCAGAUUCCUCUUCAGACUCAUUUUCCUCAUUUUCAGAAUGCCCAGGUAUCUCAGCAUCAGAUUUCUCCACAAGACCAUUUUCAUUUUCUUCUUCUACAUCUUCUUCCUCUUCUUUUUCUUCUUUUGACUCAUCUUCAGUAUCAGGUGUAUCUUUUUUAUCAGUUUUUGAAGCAUCCCCAGCCUUUUUUCGACUCUGAAAUAUGCCAAAUAUUAAAUAAUAAAAUAAAAAUAGAAGUAAUAAGGAAACACACAACAAUCUAGAUAGAUGACGGAUAGAAAUGCAUUGUGUAAGUUCUUCACAGGUAGUAGAAUUGCACAAAUAAUACCAUAAGCCUAGCUUUCACAUACUCUUCUUCAAUGGAAGAGCUUUCAGUUUCGUGACAGCACAUACAAGAUAUGAAACAGGUUAACACUGAAAAUCGUAUUACACAAUUUAAUGCAACUAAGAGAAUAUUGACCCCUCUCUUCUGCCUCAUCCGUUUCCAUCUUCCUCCAAAGAGACAAUGGGGUAGACAAUAGAUACUUGAAAAAGAGAUUAUAAUCCAUGGAAGUAUUGCCCCAUUGGCAACUAGUAAAUGAAACUUAAUUAGUAAAAGGAAAUACACAUUUCCAAUAUUACCAGGGAAAAAAUACCUUUGCUGAACGUGUUGAAGACACACUCCCAGAGGCUGAGCUUUUGGUCACCCUCUUGCGCUUUUUGCUCUUAUUUGCCUUCUCUUUUUCUGCAAGUAGCACAGUAGUUGUAGCAUGAGGAGCCACCAAAAAGUCUAUCAGCUUUGAAACAAUAUCCUCCUUCUUCAUAGCUGCCUUGGCAACUGGUAUGUCAAGUACAUCACAAAAUUCCAACAAUUUUUCUUUAUUACACUUGUCAAAUUUUUCUUUUACUUUAGUCUUUUGCUUUUCCUCAUUUUCAUGCCACACAAAUCCAGAGAAACGGGAUAUAUUACUCUUGAUCAGAAUUGCCUUCCCUCUCCUCCCAAAGAGAAUUGUAUGAAGCAGCUUAAAGGUAUCAUCAAUCUUCCUUCUGGAUAACUUGAAUGCAACAUUAGGUAUAUCUUUCAGUGGGGUACCACGGCCCUUUUCUAUAUGGAAUUCCUUGGUUGCAUCUCUCUCAAUAGAUGCCACCAGCCUUUCAACAGAUUUCCGCUCCCGUUGUGGCCUGUCAGAAGCAGGAGUCCUUGGCUCAGGCUCCUUCUUCUUCUUCUUCUCGCCUUUCUCCCUACCACUCUUCUUCUCCCCGCCACUCUUUCCUCUCCCACGUUUCUUUACACCCUUAUCCUCAUUCUGUUCUGCCUUCUCUUCUUUCUCCUGAGACCCAUCAACCUUCUCCUCCACCUCUUCUUUGUUUUCCUCAUUUUCUUCAACUUCUGCAUCAUCUUUUGAUCCAGUUUCUUCUUCCACUGGUUCAUUUUUUUCUUCCUUUACUUCAGUUUCGGGUUCAUCCUUUUCUUUUUCUUCUUUGCUUUCCUUCUCUUCAUUCACCUUGGGGUCUUCAUCCAUCUUCUCAGUCUCAGCUUCCACAUUAUCAACUUUAUCUUCAUCCAUUGCUUUCAAUACACUACUUUCCUCUUCUUUUUUCUGUGUCACAACUUUACCUGAUUUCUCUGGUGCACUAGUUCCAUUUUCAACUACAUCAGGAACUUCAGUCACCGAUUCUUCCUUGCCCAUUUGCAAAACAGUCUAACGCAAAAGCUACAACAAAAAGCAACCUCUUUCCUUUACUAAAAAAUCCAGUUUAACUUGGAUAAUAGAAAUUAAUUAACCUCAAAUUAGCAAAAACAUUCCGAGUUCCAUGCUUGGUAUCCCCAAAGCUCCCCAUUUAAAAUCCAAAAUUCCGCUUCAUUUUCAGCAUGUUCUCAGCAACCAAACAGAGAAAAUUGAAUUUCACAUGCAAAACACGAAAAACCAGAAGGGAAAGAAAAAAAUUAAAAAGAAAAAGGAAGUCAACAUUUCCCACCCAAAAGUAACAAGCAUGAAAACCCUAAACUCUAAACAAGCAAUUCUGUACCAUAAUUACAAGGACAUUUGGAAAACAAUUAAAACAAAUUUGAAACCCAAAGAAAAGCAUGAAAACCGGAAAGUAACGAAGUAGAAAUAAAACAAAAUUGAAACUU